GAGGGAAAGGCGAAAAGAACCCCGGCGAGGGGAGUGAAAAAGAACCUGAAACCGUGUACGUACAAGCAGUAGGAGCCUCUUUAUGGGGUGACUGCGUACCUUUUGUAUAAUGGGUCAGCGACUUAUAUUCUGUAGCAAGGUUAACCGUAUAGGGGAGCCGUAGGGAAACCGAGUCUUAACUGGGCGAAUGAGUUGCAGGGUAUAGACCCGAAACCCGGUGAUCUAUCCAUGGGCAGGUUGAAGGUUGGGUAACACUAACUGGAGGACCGAACCGACUAAUGUUGAAAAAUUAGCGGAUGACUUGUGGAUGGGGGUGAAAGGCCAAUCAAACCGGGAGAUAGCUGGUUCUCCCCGAAAGCUAUUUAGGUAGCGCCUCGUGAAUUCAUCUUCGGGGGUAGAGCACUGUUUCGACUAGGGGGUCAUCCCGACUUACCAACUCGAUGCAAACUGCGAAUACCGAAGAAUGUUAUCACGGGAGACACACGGCGGGUGCUAACGUCCGUCGUGAAGAGGGAAACAACCCAGACCGCCAGCUAAGGUCCCAAAGUCAUGGUUAAGUGGGAAACGAAGUGGGAAGGCUCAGACAGCCAGGAUGUUGGCUUAGAAGCAGCCAUCAUUUAAAGAAAGCGUAAUAGCUCACUGGUCGAGUCGGCCCGCGCGGAAGAUGUAACGGGGCUAAACCAUGCACCGAAGCUGCGGCAGCGAACGUAUCACUUAAAUUUGUUUGAGUGAAUAACGAUUGACGGAACGAAGUGACGUCAAUGCGUUAAUGAAAGUCGAGGCGAAAGCACGACAAAGCGAAUUUAAGGAUACGUUCGUUGGGUAGGGGAGCGUUCUGUAAGCCUGCGAAGGUGUACUGUGAGGUAUGCUGGAGGUAUCAGAAGUGCGAAUGCU
RNAcentral lists this ribosomal RNA (894 nucleotides) under Proteus mirabilis. RNAcentral describes it as "partial 23S ribosomal RNA". It matches the Rfam family "Bacterial large subunit ribosomal RNA", at positions 505 to 1298 of the family's 2925-position model. Lineage: Bacteria; Pseudomonadati; Pseudomonadota; Gammaproteobacteria; Enterobacterales; Morganellaceae. The record is from RNAcentral.